RNAcentral lists this ribosomal RNA (440 nucleotides) under uncultured bacterium. Its description in RNAcentral is "partial 16S ribosomal RNA". It matches the Rfam family "Bacterial small subunit ribosomal RNA", at positions 338 to 795 of the family's 1533-position model. The record is from RNAcentral.
CCUACGGGUGGCAGCAGUAGGGAAUAUUGCGCAAUGGGGGAAACCCUGAAGCAGCAACGCCGCGUGGAGGAUGAAGGUUUUAGGAUUGUAAACUCCUUUUGUUAGAGAAGAUUAUGACGGUAUGUAACGAAUAAGCACCGGCUAACUUCGUGCCAGCAGCCGCGGUAAUACGGAGGGUGCAAGCGCUACUCGGAAUCACUGGGCGUAAAGAGUGCGUAGGCGGGGGAAUAAGUAUGAUGUGAAAUCCCGUGGCUUAACUACAGAACGUCAUUUGAAACUGUUACUCUGGAGUGUAGGAGAGGUGAGUGGAAUUCUUGGUGUAGCGGUAAAAUCCGUAGAGAUCAAGAGGGACACUCAUUGCGAAGGCGACUUUCUGGUACGUAACUGACGCUGAUGCACGAAAGCGUGGGGAGCAAACAGGAUUAGAUACCCGGGUAGUC